Molecule: ribosomal RNA, 303 nt
Filed under: uncultured Lactobacillus sp.
Lineage: Bacteria; Bacillati; Bacillota; Bacilli; Lactobacillales; Lactobacillaceae
Description: bacterial SSU rRNA
Rfam family: Bacterial small subunit ribosomal RNA
Source: RNAcentral
UGCAUUAGCUAGUUGGUAGGGGUAACGGCCUACCAAGGCGAUGAUGCAUAGCCGAGUUGAGAGACUGAUCGGCCACAUUGGGACUGAGACACGGCCCAAACUCCUACGGGAGGCAGCAGUAGGGGAAUCUUCCACAAUGGACGCAAGUCUGAUGGAGCAAACGCCGCGUGAGUGAAGAAGGGUUUCGGCUCGUAAAGCUCUGUUGUUGGUGAAGAAGGACAGGGGGUAGUAACUGACCUUUGUUUGACGGUAAUCAAUUAGAAAAGUCACGGGCUAACUACGUGCCAGCAGCCGCGGGUAAAU